This 469-nucleotide long non-coding RNA is filed under the name Bos indicus x Bos taurus (hybrid cattle). RNAcentral describes it as "lncRNA (ENSBIXG00000007029.1)". Lineage: Eukaryota; Metazoa; Chordata; Mammalia; Artiodactyla; Bovidae. The record is from RNAcentral.
GUUAUCUGCUGUAUUCAUCACUGAGAAGAUGCUACCUACAAGCUUGAAUUAUACAUAAUGGUCCAUCUCUGUGAACCCUGCCGCCCAGUUCCACCUCCUGACUGAGGUGAUGGAACCGGGAUGCUCAUGCUGAGGCUGCUGCUGCUAAUGAAGAAAGUAAAAGAAGACACAACCUUGCUUCCCAUCACAGCCCUCAGGCACCUUCUCCUGUAGGCCAGGGGACAAGACUGUGCUCCUGAGGGUUGCCCCUGAAUAAAUACAGCAACAACAUUGAAGGCAGUCUCUCAAACUUCUUCGGGUAGUGAACGACUUAAACUUGCAGAACGACUGUACGAGACAGGCAUUAUGCCAGCUCCCUCCAGCCCCUGCUGUUGCUCUGGCACCCUUCUUGAUCAUCUUGAACCUCCACAACCCAGCAAGCCCCAUGUCUUCCCCAAGAUGGGUAAGGCCUGGCAACCCUCAUGUACAU